This 372-nucleotide unclassified non-coding RNA is filed under the name Hevea brasiliensis (rubber tree). The record is from RNAcentral. Lineage: Eukaryota; Viridiplantae; Streptophyta; Magnoliopsida; Malpighiales; Euphorbiaceae.
GGCUUUAUAAUUCUUUACUUUGAAAACUCUUACAUGUAUGGGAUAAGAUUCAUGUGGCUGUAAUAUUUUUGGAACAAAGCAACAAGUACAAGACAAAAGUCUUUCUUGGGCUGUUUUCUAUACUUUGCGCUGAGCUGAAAUGCUUAAAAUUUUUUCAACCGAACUGAACUGUUGGCUAAUAUACGAUUCGUUGUUCUAAACUUACAAGUAUAUACCAUAUUUUGCAAUUGGAGGAAGACUUGGAAGAGUUUGUCAUGGGGCCAUGAGUCCUUCAAUAGUGUAAGUUAGAGAUUCUGCCCAAUCAGAUUUGAGCACCAGUGUCUGCAGGGUGUGCAUAACAUCAUAAUCAGGAUCAAGCUUCCUUUGGAGGAA